RNAcentral lists this small RNA (630 nucleotides) under Pan troglodytes (chimpanzee). RNAcentral's name for it is "processed transcript". The record is from RNAcentral. Lineage: Eukaryota; Metazoa; Chordata; Mammalia; Primates; Hominidae.
ACACAGCCCGGGUCGCAGGCACCUCCCCGCCAGCUCUCCCGCUUCUCGCACAGCUUCCCGACCCGUCUGCUGAGCCCCAUGGCCCGCGCCACGCUCUCCACCGCCCCCAGCAAUCCCCGGCUCCUGCGGGUGGCGCUGCUGCUCCUGCUCCUGGUGGCCGCCGGCCGGCGCGCAGCAGGUGGGUCCCGGCGCCCUGGGGUCCCCAGGCCGGACGCGGCUGGGGUGGGCGCCCCGCGCCAACAGCCCCGCUCAAUCAGCGAGUCUCUUCUUCCCUAGGAGCGUCCGUGGUCACUGAACUGCGCUGCCAGUGCUUGCAGACCCUGCAGGGAAUUCACCUCAAGAACAUCCAAAGUGUGAAUGUGAAGUCCCCAGGACCCCACUGCGCCCAAACCGAAGUCAUAGCCACACUCAAGAAUGGGAAGAAAGCUUGUCUCAACCCGGCAUCCCCCAUGGUUCAGAAAAUCAUCGAAAAGAUACUGAACAAGGGGAGCACCAACUGACAGGAGAGAAGUAAGAAGCUUAUCAGUGUAUCAUUGACACUUCCUGCAGGGUGGUCCCUGCCCUUACCAGAGCUGAAAAUGAAAAAGAGAACAGCAGCUUUCUAGGGACAGCUGGAAAGGACUUAAUGUG